AUUGAACGCUGGCGGCAGGCUUAACACAUGCAAGUCGAGCGGAGUGAUGGUGCUUGCACUAUCACUUAGCGGCGGACGGGUGAGUAAUGCUUAGGAAUCUGCCUAUUAGUGGGGGACAACAUCUCGAAAGGGAUGCUAAUACCGCAUACGUCCUACGGGAGAAAGCAGGGGAUCACUUGUGACCUUGCGCUAAUAGAUGAGCCUAAGUCGGAUUAGCUAGUUGGUGGGGUAAAGGCCUACCAAGGCGACGAUCUGUAGCGGGUCUGAGAGGAUGAUCCGCCACACUGGGACUGAGACACGGACCAGACUACUACGGGAGGCAGCAGUGAGGAUUAUUGGACAAUGGGGGAAAGCCUGAUCCAGCCAUGCCGCGUGUGUGAAGAAAGCCUUAUGGUUGUAAAGCACUUUAAGCGAGGAGGAGGCUUACCUAGUUAAUACCUGAGAUAAGUGGACGUUACUCGCAGAAUAAGCACCGGCUAACUCUGUUCCAGCCGCCGCAGUAA
RNAcentral lists this ribosomal RNA (503 nucleotides) under uncultured bacterium. RNAcentral describes it as "partial 16S ribosomal RNA". It matches the Rfam family "Bacterial small subunit ribosomal RNA", at positions 30 to 523 of the family's 1533-position model. The record is from RNAcentral.